RNAcentral lists this ribosomal RNA (472 nucleotides) under uncultured bacterium. RNAcentral describes it as "bacterial SSU rRNA". It matches the Rfam family "Bacterial small subunit ribosomal RNA", at positions 28 to 513 of the family's 1533-position model. The record is from RNAcentral.
GACGAACGCUGGCGGCGUGCUUAACACAUGCAAGUCGAACGAUGAAGCCCAGCUUGCUGGGUGGAUUAGUGGCGAACGGGUGAGUAACACGUGGGCAACCUGCCCCAAACUCUGGGAUAACUCCUCGAAAGAGGUGCUAAUACCGGAUACGAACUAGGUAGACAUCUGCACUAGUUGGAAAGUUUUUCGGUUUGGGAUGGGCCCGCGGCCUAUCAGCUUGUUGGUGAGGUAACGGCUCACCAAGGCUACGACGGGUAACCGGCCUGAGAGGGCGACCGGUCACACUGGGACUGAGACACGGCCCAGACUCCUACGGGAGGCAGCAGUGGGGAAUAUUGCGCAAUGGGCGAAAGCCUGACGCAGCGACGCCGCGUGAGGGAUGAAGGUCUUCGGAUCGUAAACCUCUUUCAGUAGGGACGAAGCGAAAGUGACGGUACCUAAAGAAGAAGCACCGGCUAACUACGUGCCAGCG